RNAcentral lists this ribosomal RNA (393 nucleotides) under uncultured bacterium. Its description in RNAcentral is "partial 16S ribosomal RNA". It matches the Rfam family "Bacterial small subunit ribosomal RNA", at positions 523 to 918 of the family's 1533-position model. The record is from RNAcentral.
AUACGGAGGAUCCGAGCGUUAUCCGGAUUUAUUGGGUUUAAAGGGAGCGUAGGCGGACUAUUAAGUCAGCUGUGAAAGUUUGCGGCUCAACCGUAAAAUUGCAGUUGAUACUGGUCGUCUUGAGUGCAGUAGAGGUAGGCGGAAUUCGUGGUGUAGCGGUGAAAUGCUUAGAUAUCACGAAGAACUCCGAUUGCGAAGGCAGCUUACUGGACUGUAACUGACGCUGAUGCUCGAAAGUGUGGGUAUCAAACAGGAUUAGAUACCCUGGUAGUCCACACAGUAAACGAUGAAUACUCGCUGUUUGCGAUAUACGGCAAGCGGCCAAGCGAAAGCAUUAAGUAUUCCACCUGGGGAGUACGCCGGCAACGGUGAAACUUAAAGGAAUUGACGGGG